Molecule: ribosomal RNA, 349 nt
Filed under: Proteobacteria bacterium ST_bin16
Lineage: Bacteria; Pseudomonadati; Pseudomonadota
Description: bacterial LSU rRNA
Rfam family: Bacterial large subunit ribosomal RNA
Source: RNAcentral
AAAGUGGUACGUGAGCUGGGUUUAAAACGUCGUGAGACAGUUUGGUCCCUAUCUGCCGUGGGCGUUGGAAGUUUGAGAGGACCUGCUCCUAGUACGAGAGGACCGGAGUGGACGAACCUCUGGUGUACCGGUUAUGACGCCAGUCGUAUCGCCGGGUAGCUAAGUGCGGACGAGAUAACCGCUGAAAGCAUCUAAGCGGGAAACUCUCCUCAAGAUAAGACUUCCCGAGGGUUUAACCCUCCUAAAGGUUCGUCGAAGACUACGACGUUGAUAGGUCGGGUGUGGAAGCAUAGUAAUAUGUUAAGCUAACCGAUACUAAUUGACCGUGAGGCUUGAUCCUAUAACUUUG